Gallus gallus (chicken) is the source of this 2816-nucleotide long non-coding RNA. NCBI's taxonomy places the organism in Eukaryota, Metazoa, Chordata, Aves, Galliformes, Phasianidae. The record is from Ensembl.
UGGGACCCGUGCGCGUAGGACGGAGCCCUGGGAGCCGGCCAGCAGCGACUCACCCGGCACAGCGCCCUGCCAAAGGCUCGUCAGAAGGUGACAAUGACCAGAAAAUGGGUCACUGCUGGCGCCAGACGAGGGGCUUAACGACACAGACCUCCCCGAGGCUCGCCAAAGCAGGGGCAGCCCCUACUGUUUUUUGCCUACAACGGGGCGCGUGCCUUUCAGCAGCUCAAACAAGGGGGGAUUUGCCGAAGCUGAGGCGUGCCUGCCUUGAAACAACCCAAAUUAUAUCGGUGGUCGCCAAAUCUAAGGCACAGUUGCCUUUAAACAAUUCACAGCAAACCGAGUAUGAAAAGAAAGAAACCCGACCCGCUGCUAAGGAAGAUGUGGGAAGGAUGAAGCGGAUGUGUCUGACACCGCAGGAUGGGGGGAGCUCUAGGAAAUACUUCUGCCAACAGUUUACUCUCUUAGAAAUGUGUGUGUUGGCCAACAGCAAGUGAUGAGUGAAGCGUGGCUGUGCCUGAUGGAUCUGUGCUGCUGUGCAAGCCAGGCUUCAGUCCCAGCGCCGUGCUGUGAGCCUGCAGCUGGGGGAGUACACAGCCACCAGCUCCUGCCCCACACAAACGUCCUGCACUGAGGAAAGCAGUUGGGAUGUUGGGAUGCUGGGAUAUUGGGAUGCUGGGAUCCUGGGAUAUUGGGGUUCUGAGAUGGUGGGAUGCUGGGAUGUUGGAAUAUUAGGAUGUUGGGAUGCUGAGAUGUUGGGAUAUUGGGAUGCUGGGAUGUUGACAUAUUGGGAUGUUGGAAUAUUGGGAUGUUGAGAUGCUAGGAUACUGGGGUUCUGAGAUGGUAGGAUGGUGGGAUGUUGAAAUGCUGGGAUAUUGGGAUGCUGGUCUAUUGGGACGUUGGGAUAUUGGGGUGCUUGCGUGUUGGAAUGUUGGGGUGUUAGAAUGUGAGAGUGUAGGGAUAUUGGGGUGCUAGUAUGAUGAGAAGUUGGGAUGCUGGGAUAUAGGAAUGCUGGCUUGUUGGGAUGCUGAGAUUUUGGGAUAUGAAGAUGUUAGGAUGCUGGAAUGUUGGGAUGUUGGGAUGCUGGGAAAUUAGGAUGUUGGGAUAUUGAGAUGCUGGUCUAUUGGGAUGUUGGGAUAUUGGGGUGCUUGUAAGUUGGGAUGCUGGGAUAUAGGAAUGCUGGCUUGUUGGGAUGCUGAGAUUUUGGGAUAUGAAGAUGUUAGGAUGCUGGAAUGUUGGGAUGUUGGGAUGCUGGGAAAUUGGGAUGUUGGGAUAUUGGGGUGCUUGUGUGUUGGAAUUCUGGGGUGUUAGAAUGUGAGAGUGUAGGGAUAUUGGGGUGCUAGUAUGAUGAGAUGUUGGGAUGCUGGGGUAUAGGAAUGUGGCUUGUUGGGAUGCUGAGAUUUUGGGAUAAGAAGAUGUUAGGAUGCUGGAAUGUUGGGAUGUUGGGAAAUUGGGAUGUUGUGAUGUUGAGAUGCUGCCAUGUUGGCAUACUGAGGUGCUGGGUUGCUGAAAUGAUGAGAUGUUGCAUUGCUGGGAUAUUAGGAUGCUGAGAUUUCACAGUAUGAGGGGUUGCUGUCACACCCUGUUCCCGGGUUUAUUUUGCCCAGCAAGAAGACAGUGACAAUGGUGCACUUCACUGACACAGAUCAGGUGCACCAAAACAAUUCAUUAAACAUAUUCUGAGCAAGCUGCUGCACACAUGAUCUAUAAUCACGUAUAUUCUAAGCAAACAGUGUAUUAGCCUAUGACUAAUCUGUAUUCUGGAGCAGAGGGGAGGUAAAUUAGAGCAGGUAAGGGUAUAAUAACAGGUUGGGUAUGGUUAUACAAAUUCUGGGGAAGGUAAAUUAGGGUAGGAAAUGUUACAGAGCCUCUCUCAUCAGUGCAUCUGUCAUGAGAAGGGGCCCAAGGGCGGGGGAACUUGAAAGCUGGAGGGUCUCAGGAUGGCUGAGGGGAGCUUCAAAAGCUGUCCUCCAGUGUCCUGACUUUAAAGCCCUUUUACACGUGGUUUGCCAGAACAAGCAGGGAAGCAGGGGGUGAUGAACUUCUACAAGGUAUGCAGACUAAGAUAUAAGCAGGGGUACGAAAAACACAUGACUCUGCAGAAAGGCAGAGGAACUUCCAUUGGUUCAGUUCCCAAAACCGCGUGGGGUUGUUUCCAUGUUAAUCAUCUCGUGGCGUUAUGGUCUCUGUGCUUUUGCCAAAGGAGACACUUUCUCUUUUCUCUGAUAACUUCUGGUCAUAGCUCAGGCCCCAGACAUGAGUACCAGGCCUCACGUUGUCAGGCAUAAAUAAGGUGAGACGAGUGAUGGAGGCAUAGCUAUGGCCUUAUCUGACUGUGCAGCUACGGGCAAGUCUCAUUAUCAACUAGAGGAUGGCUAAUAAACCUAUACCCAUCCUCAUUCUCCAGUAUUGCAAGACCUCUCCCCUUCUUCAGCAGCUAUGCUUGGGCCACAAUCCACAGUUGCAAUGCUGGAAUGAUGGAAUAUUGGAAUGCUGGGACAUUGAAAGGCUGAGAUGCUGGGAUGCUGAGGUGUUCAGAUGCUGGGAUAUUGGAAUGCUGAGAUUUUGAGAUGCUGAGUUGUUGGGAUGGUGGGAUGCUGAGCUGUUGAGAUGUUGGGAUGCUCAAAUAAUGAGAUGUUGGGAUAUGGAGAUGCUGAGAUGCUCCCUGGUGAAGCAGUCUUCACUGAGUUCUUGGAAUAACAGGGCACGUGGAGGCAGAUGACUGCAGAACAUCUAUUUAAUGAGGUCUCACAGGCUUCCCUACAUCUCUUUGCAAGCUCCUGCAAGUCUGGGAUGGAGGAUUUAUUGCUUGAAGUAAG